GUUGAAACAGUGGUUCGCAUAUGAUCACUGAAGUUAAGCAAUGUUGAGCUUUGUCAGUACCUAGAUGGGUGACUACUUGGGAAUACCAGAUGCU
Acanthosepion pharaonis is the source of this 94-nucleotide non-coding RNA. The record is from the annotation of a GenBank genome assembly. Lineage: Eukaryota; Metazoa; Mollusca; Cephalopoda; Sepiida; Sepiidae.